AGUGAACGCUGGCGGUAGACCUAACACAUGCAAGUCGAACGGCAGCACAGUAAGAGCUUGCUCUUACGGGUGGCGAGUGGCGGACGGGUGAGGAAUACAUCGGAAUCUACUUUUUCGUGGGGGAUAACGUAGGGAAACUUACGCUAAUACCGCAUACGACCUACGGGUGAAAGCAGGGGAUCUUCGGACCUUGCGCGAUUGAAUGAGCCGAUGUCGGAUUAGCUAGUUGGCGGGGUAAAGGCCCACCAAGGCGACGAUCCGUAGCUGGUCUGAGAGGAUGAUCAGCCACACUGGAACUGAGACACGGUCCAGACUCCUACGGGAGGCAGCAGUGGGGAAUAUUGGACAAUGGGCGCAAGCCUGAUCCAGCCAUACCGCGUGGGUGAAGAAGGCCUUCGGGUUGUAAAGCCCUUUCGUUGGGAAAGAAAAGCAGCAGGUUAAUACCCCGCUGUUCUGACGGUACCCAAAGAAUAAGCACCGGCUAACUUCGUG
RNAcentral lists this ribosomal RNA (492 nucleotides) under uncultured bacterium. RNAcentral describes it as "partial 16S ribosomal RNA". It matches the Rfam family "Bacterial small subunit ribosomal RNA", at positions 29 to 507 of the family's 1533-position model. The record is from RNAcentral.